This 451-nucleotide ribosomal RNA is filed under the name uncultured soil bacterium. RNAcentral's name for it is "bacterial SSU rRNA". It matches the Rfam family "Bacterial small subunit ribosomal RNA", at positions 26 to 518 of the family's 1533-position model. The record is from RNAcentral.
AGAACGAACGCUGGCGGCAGGCUUAACACAUGCAAGUCGAACGGUUGUAGCAAUACAGCAGUGGCAGACGGGUGAGUAACCCGUGGGAACCUUCCUAGGGGUACGGAACAACUCAGGGAAACUUGAGCUAAUACCGUAUACGUCCGUGAGGAGAAAGAUUUAUCGCCCCUAGACGGGCCCGCGUAGGAUUAGGUAGUUGGUGAGGUAACGGCUCACCAAGCCUACGAUCCUUAGCUGAUCUGAGAGGAUGAUCAGCCACACUGGGACUGAGACACGGCCCAGACUCCUACGGGAGGCAGCAGUGGGGGAAUCUUGGACAAUGGGCGCAAGCCUGAUCCAGCCAUGCCGCGUGAGUGAAGAAGGCCUUCGGGUUGUAAAGCUCUUUUACCAGGGACGAUAAUGACGUACCUGGAGAAUAAGUCCCCGGACAAACUUCGUCGCCAGCAGCCGC